This 959-nucleotide unclassified non-coding RNA is filed under the name Hevea brasiliensis (rubber tree). Lineage: Eukaryota; Viridiplantae; Streptophyta; Magnoliopsida; Malpighiales; Euphorbiaceae. The record is from RNAcentral.
AUGAACCUGAACCAAACUGCAGAAGAACAGUUUCGGUCUGGUUCAAAGCUGGUUUCGGUUUUGACAGGUUUUGGUCGAACCGGUUCCGGUUCAAAAUCAGACCGUGGCCACCCUUAGUUGUUAUUGUGGUAAAAUGGAAAGGGGGUGCGCCUGCUUAAAUAGAAGAGGCAGGGAAAGGGGCGGUAGUACUGUACCCGAUCUCCAUGUCUAGUACUGUACCUGAUCUCCAUGUCAAUGUUGGAUUGGUAUGUGCUAUUUUUUUUUGUCUUUUUCCUCCUUUUUUUCUUCUAGCCAUCUUUCAAAGCUAAUAACAAUGCUCUUUCUAAAGGGCAAGUGCUAUACAUUCCUAAAGACGAGUGGCACCUAAAACAACCAUUGGAGCUUAUUUUGGUUGUGGGGCUGCCAAUGGACUCAAUUUUAGUCUGAAUCCUUUCCAAUUCUGAUUGAUCUAUUUGAUAGGGUAGAGAAGUUUAGCUCCACAUAUUUAAACAUAAUUUCAAGUUAAUCCAUUUAUUUGCAAAUAAAACAUGGUUGAUAUUAAUAUGAUCCAGUUGAUAUCUUAUUUGAAUAUAAACAUUAAUUUAAUCAAUAAUUUCAAAUUUUACCAUAGUUUCUAUCAUAUGUACACACAUACAUACAAAUUUUGUUUUCUUCUACACUCAAUUUCUUCGGUUUAUAUGACGUGCAUUCUUGUCUCUGUUUAUGUAUAUUGAAGACAUGAUUUUGUUAACUAUGCUUGAUGCGACCCUCAAGAACAAUGCUUUGAAACCCAUGAAUAGGUUUGAUUUAUAAUCCCAAGAAAGCAAAAUCAAGUUCAAACACCAAAGAAUACCUUGACCUAUCAAUUAUAUAGAAUUGAAAACCAAGAUAAUUCAAAGGUAGAAUUAAGGAUUCUUGACCCAAGGUUUAUAAUCAAACAAAAAUCAAGAAUAUCGAGAUUGUUAAAUCCUACAAGAUUA